Long non-coding RNA from Heterocephalus glaber (naked mole-rat), 374 nucleotides. RefSeq lists it as uncharacterized. The record is from RefSeq and is a predicted model, not a curated record. NCBI's taxonomy places the organism in Eukaryota, Metazoa, Chordata, Mammalia, Rodentia, Bathyergidae.
CAGGCCUCACCGUUGCGGCCACAGAAGCUUCGGUUGAAGCCGUGCUCACAGAUCUCAGGCACUGUGGACGCCGACGUGCCGUGGUACAGGACCUGCUCUGCAGGUUGCUGUGUGCAGCGCUGCACCAGACGAUCCCGGUGCAGCUGGUACUGCUGCUCCAGCAGCGGGUGUGACACUCGCUGCACCUGCCAGAAAGCAGAACCUACAGCUAAGCCUCUUCAGGGAAAAGCCCAGCAGGAUGCCUACACUGCCCUCAGGACUUCAUUCCCUACACCAGAUGCCCGAAGACCUCAGUGCUGGAAGACCCAGGUCACAACUGAGACCUCAGUGAUCCCGGACGCUGUAAUGCUCCAGGACAAGACCACACCUGCACC